Molecule: RNA transcript, 661 nt
Organism: Panicum virgatum (switchgrass)
Lineage: Eukaryota; Viridiplantae; Streptophyta; Magnoliopsida; Poales; Poaceae
Gene name: Bowman-Birk type wound-induced proteinase inhibitor WIP1-like
Exons: 2
Source: RefSeq, a predicted model, not a curated record
CUCUCCACCGCGCUAUUGGCAACACACAGCAACAAGCUACUGCUCGCUAGAACACAAGACGCAAAGAGUUUCUACAGGAAACAGGGAGCUGAAGCGCCAAGCGAAGCGACCAUGAAGAGCAGCACGCUCCUGGUGCUCCUGUAGUCCUGUGCCUGCAGGCCGCCCUGGUCAUGGGGAUCUUCGCAGCCGUGGCAAAAGAAAAUGCCGUGGUCGAGAGCAAGGCCAUCGACAUCAACCCGGGUCAGCUCAAGUGCUGCACCAACUGCAACUUCUCCUUCUCGGGGCUCUACACCUGCGACGACGUCAAGAAGGACUGCGACCCCGUCUGCAAGAAGUGCGUCGCCGUCAAGACCUACUCCGGCAACAAGUUCAGGUGCACCGACACCUUCCUCGGCAUCUGCGGACCCAAGUGCUAGACUAGAUGCAUGAGCCACCAUCCCAGCAUGGGCAGCUGCUGGAUCGAAUUUGGCUUGGGAAAUGCAGGACCGAGGCCAUGCGGUCCUCCGAUCCUACUACACGAGCAUACAUAAGAUUAUUGUGUGUUGUGAGUUUGUGUCAUUGUGUAAUGGUACGUGCUUGUUCUCGACGAUGCACGCGAACAAUAAGCCGUUGUUUGCGAUAAAUAAAAGUGAUGCAGCAUGCAAAAGUUACGUUUCGAAAA